This 128-nucleotide non-coding RNA is filed under the name uncultured Butyrivibrio sp. The record is from RNAcentral. Lineage: Bacteria; Bacillati; Bacillota; Clostridia; Lachnospirales; Lachnospiraceae.
UGCUAAGGGUGCCCGAUGAGUCGGGCUGAGAGGAAACUACUACAAUGUUUCGACCUUGGAGAACAGUUAAAGGCUGUUUCUCCGCACCUGAUCCGGAUAAUGCCGGCGUAGGGAUGUAUACUUAUAUU